Molecule: long non-coding RNA, 375 nt
Organism: Lolium rigidum
Lineage: Eukaryota; Viridiplantae; Streptophyta; Magnoliopsida; Poales; Poaceae
Exons: 3
Source: RefSeq, a predicted model, not a curated record
UAACCAUGGUGGCGCGUGGGAAGGAAAUGAUUGCGCUGCCGUUUCUUCGUGCAAUGAAUGACCUAGAAGCGAUCGAUGUUGGUGGCGGCGACUACAUGGCGACAGCAACGACAGGGGAUGAGGCGGAGGCGACACCGUUAGCGGCUCGAGAACCAAAGAACGGGGAUUAGGAGGUGGCACCCGGGUAGAUGGGUCAGGGCGAGGCUCACAGCUCGUCACGACAUCACUCGCCGUCGUCCUCGACUAACAGAUUCAGAUGAUACACUAACGGUCGUUGAGGAAUUAACAUCUACUCUAUAUGUGGCAUCAUAAUGUUGCAGCCACGUUGAUUUUUGGGAGUAUCAGACCCAAUUAUUAUCAUGGAUAUAUCUCUGA